RNAcentral lists this ribosomal RNA (946 nucleotides) under Oscillatoria sp. U-Stink. Its description in RNAcentral is "bacterial SSU rRNA". It matches the Rfam family "Bacterial small subunit ribosomal RNA", at positions 356 to 1317 of the family's 1533-position model. The record is from RNAcentral. Lineage: Bacteria; Bacillati; Cyanobacteriota; Cyanophyceae; Oscillatoriales; Oscillatoriaceae.
GGGGAAUYUUCCGCAAUGGGCGAAAGCCUGACGGAGCAAGACCGCGUGGGGGAGGAAGGCCUUGGGUUGUAAACUCCUUUUCUCGGGGAAGAAGAACUGACGGUACCCGAGGAAAAAGCCUCGGCUAACUCCGUGCCAGCAGCCGCGGUAAGACGGAGGAGGCAAGCGUUAUCCGGAAUUAUUGGGCGUAAAGGGUCCGCAGGUGGCCAUUCAAGUCUGCAGUCAAAGGUCGGGGCUCAACCCCGAAAAGGCUGUGGAAACUGAAAGGCUAGAGUACGGUAGGGGCAGAGGGAAUUCCCAGUGUAGCGGUGAAAUGCGUAGAGAUUGGGAAGAACACCGGUGGCGAAAGCGCUCUGCUAGGCCGAAACUGACACUGAGGGACGAAAGCUAGGGGAGCGAAAGGGAUUAGAUACCCCUGUAGUCCUAGCUGUAAACGAUGGAGACUAGGUGUGGCCUGUAUCGACCCGGGCCGUGCCGGAGCUAACGCGUUAAGUCUCCCGCCUGGGGAGUACGCACGCAAGUGUGAAACUCAAAGGAAUUGACGGGGGCCCGCACAAGCGGUGGAGUAUGUGGUUUAAUUCGAUGCAACGCGAAGAACCUUACCAGGGCUUGACAUGUCGCGAACCCCGGGGAAACCUGGGGGUGCCUUAGGGAGCGCGAACACAGGUGGUGCAUGGCUGUCGUCAACUCGUGUCGUGAGAUGUUGGGUUAAGUCCCGCAACGAGCGCAACCCUCGUCCUUAGUUGCCAGCACGAAGGUGGGAACUCUAGGGNAGACUGCCGGUGACAAACCGGNAGNAAGGUGGGGAUGACGUCAAGUCAGCAUGCCCCUUACGUCCUGGGCUACACACGUACUACAAUGGGAAGGACAAAGAGCAGCNAGCGCGCAAGUGCAAGCGAAUCUCGAAAACCUUGCCCCAGUUCGGAUUGCAGGCUGCAACUCGCCU